This 30-nucleotide non-coding RNA is filed under the name Homo sapiens (human). The record is from RNAcentral. Lineage: Eukaryota; Metazoa; Chordata; Mammalia; Primates; Hominidae.
UAAAUUGGAUGGGCUGAGAGCUUUGGAGUC